This 30-nucleotide non-coding RNA is filed under the name Mus musculus (house mouse). The record is from RNAcentral. Lineage: Eukaryota; Metazoa; Chordata; Mammalia; Rodentia; Muridae.
UGCACAACACACUUAGUCGCCUAUAUGAGA